RNAcentral lists this long non-coding RNA (11795 nucleotides) under Marmota monax (woodchuck). Lineage: Eukaryota; Metazoa; Chordata; Mammalia; Rodentia; Sciuridae. The record is from RNAcentral.
CUAGACUCUGCUUCUGAAACCUUUGACCUUUUCUUCUCUGGGAAACCCCACAGAGUCUAGUGAGGGUGACUUCCAGAAAGACAAUAUAUAUAUUCUUGGAUUCUGUGACAAUGAGCAGUGAAACAAAUGAGUGUCCAGAUGCUGGCUACCAGUGAGCCUUCCCUACACAAGGUAGCUUAGCUCUUUUCUACUUCCCUUGCUGAGACCUCCUGUCCAUGGUUCACGGAAUGAAUGACACGUGCACAUAGAUUGGCUUUGGAUUUAACUGUGGCAACCAGUUGACAGCAUGUACUUCAGUCACGAGGCAGUGGUGCAUAGACUCCUGAGCUAGAGGAGCCAGUGCAAGAUUGUCCUUCUCCCUAUUCUCUUCUCCCUCUCAUGUGCCCUCUCUCUUUUCCAGAUUCAGAAGACAGAGAAAAGAGAAGGAGGAGCACUAUGGCAAGAGUCCAAAGGUGGGUCACCUUUGGACCACAAGUGUGUGUUCACAGUUCUUUCUAGCAGCAUUUCUGAUUUCUCUGUGCAAUGUAUUGAUAUGGCUACAGAUGGAUAGUCCAAGCCAGAUUUGGGUCUUGGAUUACUGUUAUUUUUUUCUUCUUUUGGAAGAAAAAAACUUAGUUUGGGGAAGACAUUAUAAAAUGAAAACUGGGCUUGGUGACAGGCCUUUAGUCCCAGCUACUCUGGAGGCUGAGUCAAGAGGAUCACUUGAGCCCAGGAGUUGAGGUUAGCCUGGGAAACAUAGCAAGACCCUAUCUCAAAAUAAUAACAACAAGCAAAUUUUAAAAACAAAAAGAGCAAUUACCCUGAUUCUUAGAACCACUUUCCUAUUAGGUUGACCCAUAUGAAUUUUUUGUUGUUGUUGUUCAAAAACAUUUAAGUAUUGAUUGUUUCAUGUAGUUCAACCUAGUACAUUUCCAUUACUCUGGGAAGGUGCCCAUUUUAAGGGGUCCCUGAGAUUUUAAUCAUUUGUGUUCAUCUUCAUCCUUCAAUACCAUUCUCUGAAUUAUUUUAACAGUAGAAGGAAUCGUGGCAACCCCAGCAAGGGUCCACAUUGCCCCAACUUCAUGACAUGUCAUCUUAUGACACAAGACAAUUAAGAUGAUGUUUGAGUACCCUUUUUUUCAUUAUUUAAAAAAAAAAAAUCUGGCUAGCUCAGCCAACCUUACCCUGACUAAGGACUGAGACCAGUUCCAAACUUUUUUUGUCUUGGAGGUAUUUGCUUCCAUCUGGCAUUCUUCCUGAAUGGGAUAUUACUUCACCUCCUACACCAGCAGCCAUCCUGGGGAUGGUGUGCUGCCAUGUGGUGCUGUAAGGGGAGGAAGUUGCUGGAGUGUUGGCAACAGCCACACCAUAAUCUUUUAACCACCUCAGGGUGACUAUUAGGUUGACCCAUAUGAAAUUUCUGCCCAGUGUGGGGAAGCCAGCAGUAUGAGCCUUAUACUGAUUGCACUUGUAGUCCCACAUUCAUUACACUAUCAUCAGUCUAUAUGUCUGGGACUGCUAGUGUGUGUGUGUGUGUGUGUGUGUGAGAGAGAGAGAGAGAGAGCGCAUAAGGCUGUGAGUAUCUCUUUAUGGCAGCUCAGUUAAACAAGGAGCUGGAGAGUUGUGUUGGUAAUAAGCAAGACAUUUCAAAGCCCCAACUCUCCCCCUUGGAAGGCCAUCAUGAUGUGUUUGCCUUUCCCGGGGAAGGGGGCCAUACAUAUACAUAUAUGUAUAUGUAUGGGGGUUUUGCCAUGCUUCUCAUUAUAUGGGGCUGCAUUCAAGUGGCUGGCCAGGUGUAUGAGAAGCUGCCUGACUGGGUGAGCCCCAUCUGCCGUGAGCUUACAGACUUGCCUUCCUGCCUGCCUUUCGUCCAUGGGGAGCCUGUCCCUUCGCAGCUCACGUCUCCUUUCUAAUUUAUUAGCUGGGAAGGAGGAGAAAAUGAAACGUUGCCUGAAGACAAUGGCCUAGACAGCAGGUCCCACCCUGCACAGCCGCCAACACCUCUCCCCCUAACCCUGUCUCCUCCUCUGCAGUUGGGUCUGCGCUUUAUUCUGCUAAGCCUGAAAUAAGAAAAAAAAAAAAAAAAGAAUUUCAAAGUAUUCUAUAAAAACUAUUCCAGCCCUUGGACAUGCAGAGGUAGCUGUAGACUGUUGAAGAUAGGAGAGGCCAAUAGGACAAAGAUUUGAGCCAGAGUUUGUAUCAAAUGGCCAAUAAAUAUGAGUUCCCUCAUGGACUCUGGGCCCCCCAUCUCUGAGUCCCAGGACUUCUCCUCAGCUCCCAGUCAGGCAGGGGAGGGGAAGGGGGCCCAAGGCAGCUGCAGGGGCUGUGUUAGUAAACACUUUCCUGGGUUCCCAUUUUCUUCACCCCCCCCACCCUUCUCCACUCCCUGAUGCCCCUUACACAAUCCCACCCCCCAGCAUCCCCCUUUCUGUGGUCUGCACAAUGAGCUCAUUGUCCUGGGUGUGAUUUGAAUAAGGGAUCUGCGGGCCUGUUCCCAGCAUUGUCCAAGGGGCUGGGAAAAACCCCAGCGCAGGCAGGAGGACCAGACCAGACAGAGACAGAUGCCUAAAUUAGCAACAAAGCUUUGUGCAGGUCCCCCGGACAAGGGCUUGCCUUGUUUGCGUGGACUCGAGGGUGUGGAGCUGGCCGGCUGCUCACAUGUCUCCCCAUGUUAAUUAGUUUUGCAUGCAUGUCUGAGAAGGUGCCAGGGGAGAUGUGUUUGCCUUUCCCGGGGAGGGGGCCCUGUUUGUAGCUGGCCAGCAGGCUGGGGGCUGUGGAGCUGAGCAGAGCUGGGCCUACCUGGGGAGCCAGACUCUGAGAUUGGUUUGAGAAUCUCAGAUCCCCCAUCUUCUUGCUCUGUUUUUCUGCCCUUGGGGUAGGGGCCGACUUUAUUCCCUGAGCCCCCUCCCAUCCUACCCCUGCACAUCUGAAAGUUGGUCAGCUCUGACUAUAGGGAACUCACUGGCUUCCACCCAGACCCUGGCCAGUGCCUAUCCAUCUGGCGGUCUGUCUCUCGCGACACAGGGCCCCUUGGGACAGGACAGCAGAAGCGGCCAGUCUGGGCUCUCCUCUGUACCCGAGCCAGAUGGCCAGUCUGCUUAUCGCAUUAUGACCUCCCAUGUCCCCAGACCCAUGCCACCCGUGGUGGGCCAGGAUCUUGUUUGGGAUUGUUUGGGAUAUGAUGGAGAAGCUUCCCUUUAAGCUUUUGGAGAGGUCUGGCCUGAAAGGAAAGGGGUCUGGUACAGAGGGCACAAGGUGUGGCCUUACCACUCUGUGACCUCAGGCAGGCCACAUCCCCAAACCUCUGAAUCUCGGUUUUUCCAUUGGUGAGAUGAUUGAGUUGAACUUCAGGAAUCUCUUGGUUCCCUCCUGGCCCAAAAAGUCUGUGAUGAUGGUGAUUCUUUCAAACCUGUGUUUGAUUUAGCGCUCUCUGAUUUACAUGGUGAAGGAGGGACAGUGAAUUCUGGCUAGAGGUGAUAGUGAGUAUUGCGGGAAGGAUUUCAUUCCUCUAGUGUAGGCCUGUGUUUUCAGAGUAGAUGGAGGAUCAGGAGCAGACAAGGCUUAUCUUCAGGUUCUUACAAACCCUCCUCUGCAGCAUGAGCCCUUCUUGUCCUGCCUUUAUGCUACAGUGGUGAGAAACAAGCUCUUGCCCAGCUGAAGGGAGCUGAAGGCAGUGGCCACACAGGAGAAGCUAAAGGGAGAGCAGCUGCUGGCCAGGGCCCUGGAUGUGUCCCAGUCGCCCCCUGCAGGCCCUGGGAUAGGGGACAGGGAUGCUUGCCAAAGCUGAGCUGAGCCAGACCUCCCAGACAACUUCCCGGCUAUUGCAUUCAGAGUCUCUCUACCUCUACAGCCCCUUACAGUAACUCAGGGAGUGAGGGGCAGGGGUGGAACAUUGUUCUUCUUGUUCAGGUGCAAGGACUCAGGAUUCAGUGGCCAGGGCAUUUGAUUCCUAACUCUUUGCUGGUCUUUCCCUGCUACUCAGCCCUGCUGGCCUUGCCCUCUUGUUCACACAGCCUCUAGAUUAAUUGGAAGCCUAAGCCUAGGAUUACUUACAGUCCAAAAUGUUGUAUGCCAAAGCUUCCAGUCCUUUUGUUGUUGUUGUUGUUGUUGUUGUUGUUAAUGGGAAUUGAACCUAAGGAGCUUUACUACUGAGCUUCAUCCCAGGGUAACUCCUACAGAAAGAAGGGAACUUAAUUUAUUCUCUGUGUGUGCUAUAUUUAUUUUAUAAUACUAGGGAACCCAGAGGCUUGUACAUGUGAGGCAAGCAUCUACUACUGAGCUACAUUCUCCCUGCUUUAUUUUAGUAUAGGAUCUCACUAAGUUGCCCAAACUAGCCUCAAACUUGUGAUCCUCCUGUUCAUAGCUGGGAUUACAGGUGUGUGCCACCAUGCCUGGCUACUAUAUAUGUGUUUUAAAUGAGUUAAAGUGCCUCUGGUUCUGAAAAUUUUGGGAUCUUAGAGAAAAGCUUCAAAAGCUGGGUUUUCUCUCCUGUCCCUUUGUCAACCUCCCCCAUCUCUGGUCUUCUCUUCCCUACCUUCUCAGAUGUGGUGGGAUAUACUUUGCUCUAGAGCCAGCAGCUGGCUAGAGGAACCCACAGGAAGUUCCAACAUUAACUGUAGGUAGUCACUGGGCCAGCAGGGGAGGCAGGCCCCAGGACUUCUCUGUGGUGGGUAGUACCCUCCCCUCAUUGCUUCAUCCAGUUGUCCACAAGCAGCACAUUCACUCCUCUCAACCUGGCCAUCUCUCCCCUCUCUGCCUCUCCCCAUCUUUCUUCUUUGGGUUCUGGGGGCCUCUUUCUUUGCCCUAUUACCUCUCUCCCUGGGUUGCUCCUCACUCAAGCUGGGUAUCUGGCAAUGAAGUCUAAAGCUUGAUGAAGAGCAGAGAGGUUAGAUAUAAUGAGAGAAAUGACCACAGUAGGGGUGGGGGAGAAGAGGCAGGGCCUUAGGGGAUCUGUCUCCUGUCCUCCCUGCCCCCAACCAAGGUCUUAGCUGCCUCAGCUGUAGCUCUGAGCUCCUUAAUCUGAUGAUCAGUGCGGUGCUGGGGGGCGGGCUGGCAGAGGCUUUAGGAGGUAACAGGGGAUCUUAGGAGUCGCACUCUGCUAACAGAGCGUCACUGAGUAUCACACAAAGCCUGGGAAUCACAUUCCAAGCGCGGCUCCCCCUUCCAGAAGCAGCAGCCCCAGCUGGGCUAGACCCAGCAUGGGUGGUGCCUGGUCGAGGGCUGGGACUCAGGCCCUGCUUGCAGUUGGGCGUCACCUUGCUCUUUGUUCUUCAGGAGGAAAGUUUCCAAGAUUAAGGCUUUCCAGCCCUUUCUGCAUGGCUGAGGUUUUAUUGUUUGGUAGCUGCCCCCAACCUUACCCAAGUGCUCAAAUCCACUGGCUACCAAUCCCAGCUAGAAGUCAUUUGUACAUUGCAGGUAUUCAUUCCCCAGGUCAGCUAGAAAAAUGCUGUCAAGGUGAUCAGGGGAUGGAGAUUUGUUCUAGAACUAAGUGAGACUGCUGUAUAGUAUGCCUUCCUUAUCAGAUGGAGCUAUCCUUAGAGAACCCAAGGAGUUCCAAAAUUGAGGCUAGGAUGCCGAAUGAAAGCCCACAUGAUUCUAAGACUUAUCCCAGCAAGAUGAUGGUAGCUCAGGCCCAAAACUUUGGCUGGGGAGGAAGAGGUGCUGUGGGCAGGGCCCAACCCAGAAUUACUGUGCAGUAGAUGUCUCAGAGCCUCUAUACCCUCAUCUGAAAAAUGGGAAUUGUUUUUACCUAUGGAGUUGCUGUGAGGAGUGUCAGAUACAUGGAUACCACUAAAUAGGGUUAAUAUUACUUCACUCUUUCCCUGAGGUAUAGGGCAGAUAUGAAGGAGGUGAAUUUCUCAAGGUCAUUUAGUAUAUCUGUGGUUUGGGGGUAGGGUGGGGACAGUAGUUAUAUUCAGAAUAUUUAAUCUCUGGUACAGCCUGGGCACCAACUAGUCAGAAUGGCAGCUGGUCCAAACCAUCAGCUCAGAGAGGAGGGCACAGCUGGGCUGAAAUAAGUUCAUUUGUCUUUUUGUCUUUCUGCUCCAUCAUGUGUCUGUUCAUCAGCAAGUAUACAGACAUCCCUGGAGGGCCGUUCCUGACCAGGUCACAGAAUGUGGGAUCCAGGGAUCUCCUCUGCAUUCUGAGCAGGUCAGACCUUCCUGGCAUGGGAUACCCUGCCUGACUUGGCAGAGGGCAGUGAACCAAGGUCCUUCCCAGCUCCAGGCUCCAUGAUGGCUGCAGAGCUGCCACCAGUUUCUGUGGGGGUAAGUUUUUUUCUGGAGCUCUUGCCUCCUCAUGUCUUUUCUUAAAAACAUUGUGGGUCGGGAUUCAGAGUGCAUCUGGAUCACUUCCCCAUGCCUGUUUCUUCCUUAGCCAAGGGAGGUCAGUGGUUUCUGUGUCUGGCUGCAGAGUGUGAGCAUGUGAUAUUAGGGGUAGUGUACAGCCCUCUUUUGUCACUGAAGAAAUCUUUUGACCUCAGGCAGCAUCUGCCCCAACCCCAGGCCACCCCUAGAUAUGUGUACUUUGCCAACAGUAGCUGCUUCUACCUGGUCUUUCUCUUUGCCUUAUGGGGUAAAAUCUCUGCCUUUGAGGGCCUAAGGUGGGCGAGUAAGGAAACAAGAGCAUAGAAAGACAUUGCCCCAUGUGGCUGGAAGUCAGAGACUUGAGCUCCGGCCCACCUUCCUACUGAGUGGUCUUGGGCAAGCUACCUCUCUUUCUGAACCUGGAAAAGGAACAUUGGGUAAGAUGGUAUCUGAGGUCCUUGAACUGCUGCAUAUUAUAAUUUGGAGUUUUUCCUAGGUUUCCUACUUUGUUACAUGCCAGUAACCCUCCCGUCGUGGCCCUGCCCAGCUCACAGGGAACUCAGCCUGCAUUAUCUCCUUCAAGUUACACUGGGAUGGAGGAGGCACCUUUACCCAGAGGCUACAAAAAUGAAAGCCCACCUCACUGCUGGCAAGUGCCAUGAGACUAACAUGUGAUCUGCCUUGAAACAAGGCUUUGGCCAGAAAGCAUGUCUCAGCUAGGUGUGUUCUCAUUCUCAGCCUCAAAUUGGGAUGUCUUUGCCUUCUCUCCUGGUUCUACAUGCUUUGAAUAGUGUUUGCCGAAGUGACCCUCCAGGUAUGUUUGCAUUAUCCUUGGGACUUUCCCUGGGUCAGGGCCUUCAGACUCAGAAGCCCCAAACCUUGUGAAGUAAUCUGUAGGGACAAUACUACUUUUUGGUCCCCAGUAUCCCCAGCCAGAUGGCUUUGCCACCAGUACAGCUCAGUGUCCUCAUGGAGUAAGGUGGAUGUGGGCUCAGGAUUCCUGGAUACUGGGGUGACCCUAGGCCAGGAAUUCAACCUCUGUAAGACUCUGUUUCCUUAGUUCUAAAAAAGAUAAUCACAUCUUUCUCAUAAAGUUGCAGCAAGACAGAACUAACACAGAGAAAGUACCUUGAAAUGACAGGAUUGUUCUCCCUUAUCUCCUAAGCCUAACUGAAUUCAGAGGUCACACACACAAGCCCAGGACUUUUCUGACCUCCUCCUGCCUUCCAUCUUCAGGACUGCUCUGCUGGGGAGGUCCUGAAACGACCCUGGAAGAACUCCUCCCCUGCCCACCACCCUCCUUCCCCAGGGAGCAGAAAUACCUAGUUUCAGCCCUAAUAAUACCUGAAUGAGAUUUAUAGGACACCUUCGUCCCCAGAGUUCUCACAUACUAUUUCUCUUAUCUUUAGAUUGUCCUGUGAAGUAAAGUGAUGGUACAGCCUCUUUUCAGUUUUUAUGGAAAUGGAAACAGAGAGGAAUGGUGACUCUUGCCAAGGUCGCAGGAUUGGAAUAUGGAGCCAAACUGCCUCAGGUCAUAGAAGAUCAUCAGAAGGAGAAAAUCUGAGCAGGAAGAGAAGAGUCAGCUACCUCCUGAGGCUGUAAAAGUUGGAGGCAAGAAUGGAGGAAUCCCAGGCAAUCCUGCUUGUCUGGGACUUGGCAAGAGACCUGGGGAAUAUGACCCAACCCUUUUGUGGGGUCUUUGCUUUUGACCUAUUGGCCUAGUAUGUCCUCUACCAUUUCUGCCCUUAUCACAUCCUAUCAGGCCUGUUCACCCUGAAACAUUCUGGCCAGGCCUCUGGCAAAUGAAAGCUCUAUACCAUCUGCAUUUUCACCCCAAAGGACUGGAGGCAGUGUGCUCAGAAGUUGCCAAAGCAGAGGCUCCAGCCUUCUAAGAGUUAAUGACUCCUUCUCCCCAGCUGUCCUCCCUUUGGUGCUCCUCUUCCUCCCUCCUGCUCACAGCAGGCUCGGCCUGGACCCAGGAGCCAUGCUGCUGUGCUGUUGCCAGGGGAGCCCAGAGGCAGAUCUGAGCUAUGCAGGGAAAAGGCCCAGCCUGUCAAAGUGUCUGAGAUGAACCGCCGCUGUCCCUGUGCAGCUGGGCUCAGACUUGUCUCGGCUCUUGUCUGUGCCUGAGAAUGGCGAAGCCCAGUGAGGUUCAAGGGCAAACUCGCUAUUCAUUAGUCAGGGGUUCUUGACGUCCUGUCUCUCCAGGGAUGGGUUCCCCCCUUCCUCUCUCUCUCCCUCCUCUGAUACAUUCCUAGGUGCCUUUGGAGAGGACUACACACCCUCCUCUUGCCCAACCCCCUCUCCAUAGGCCCCUGAAUAAACUCCCCUCAAGGAGACCAGGCAGGAUAGAGACAAUGGCUUCAGGAAAUCAUUCAGGCGAGACCCCAGCCACUCUGGCCUGCCUUCCACUUCCACAGGCCCUGUAGGCACACUCUGCUGUGACUCCGGCCACUCUGGGCCACCAGCCUGCAUAGGCCUGGAUGGGAAGAGACUACUGGGCACUGCCCUAAGGACAACAUUCAGUGCAAUGCCAUUCUCACUGGGCUCCAGGUAUACAUUUAUCUCCCUGGCUGGGUGCUAUAUUUCUGUAACAUUGUGUGUCUAUUUAAAGACACUCUUCAAUACUGUUUUUAGGAAGUGUAUUUUCUAAAAUGUAGCAGUAUCAAAAAAUAAAAGGCAGUGGUGCAGGCCUGUAAUUCCAGCAACUCAGGAAGCUGAGUCAGGAAGAUUGCAAGUUCAAGGCCAGCAUCAGCAACUUCAGAAGACCCCAUCUCAAAAAAUUAAAAAGGGGGCUUUCAUGCACAAGGCCCUGGGUUCAAUCCCCAGCACCAAAAAAAAAAAAUAAUAAUAAUAAUAAUUAAAAGGGCUGGGGGUGUAUCUCAGCACUCCUGGAUCUAAUCUUCAGUACUGGGGAAAAAAAUAUAAAAGGCACAUAUACUUGAACACAAAUAUAUUGCACUAUUAGGAAUUUACCUUAUGGGUAUAUUUGUAAAACUUCCCAAAGAGGUAUGUACAAGGGUGUUCAUGGGAUCAUUUCUUCUUUACAGUGUAAAGAAAUAGAAAUAACCAAUGGGUCCUUUCAUACAGUGGAGUACUAUGCAGUUGUAAAAGUCCAUGUGGUAAGAUCUCUAUCGACAGGCCCAUAUGGAAUGUUGGCUAGUAUAUAUUAUAGGGUAAAUAGAAUAAACUGCAGAAUAGGCAAUAGAGUAUGAUCUUAUUUGUGUACAUUUAAAAAUCAGAGGCCAGCCGGGUGUGGUGGUGCACACCUGUAAUUCUAGCAGCUCAGGAGGCUGAGGCAGGGGGAUCGAGAAUUCAAAGCCAGCCUCAGCAACUUAGUGAGGCCCUAAGCAACUCAGUAAGACUCUGUCUCUAAACAAAAUACAAAAAUAGGUUGGGGAUGUGGCUCAGUGGAUAAGUGACCCUGGGUCCAACCCAGUACCAAAAAAAAAAAAAAAAAACCAGGCCAAGCGCAGUGGUGCUUGCCUAUAAAUUCUAGAAACUCCAGAGGUUGAGGCAGGAGGAUUAAUAGUUGGAGGCCAGCCUUAGCAAUUUAGUCAGGCUCUAAGCAACUUAUUGAGACCCUGUCUAAAAAUAAAAAGAUCUGGGGAUGAAGCUCUCAAUGAUAAAGCACCCUUGGGUUUAAUCCCAAUAAUAAUAAUAAUAAAUAAACCCUACAAAAAACAAAAACAAAUCAUAAAUAUGCUUAUAUAUGAGUGGUUUCUGAUAAUAUGUAUUAGAUAACCACCUCUGGGAAGUGGGGAUACAGGGAUGCAUUCUUCUGUACAAUAAUAUUUUCUUUUCAUGUUUGUAAAAUACUUUUCUUGAAAAAUAUAGGGACUAUUUAAUAGGCUUAACUUCUAUCAACAAACUUGGAAUAGGAACUUAAGAUGAUAGUGGUGAUGUUGCAGGAAAAAAUAUUCCAGAAUCACUGGCAACAUUAGCUACUAUACUUUUCUGAGCCUAAUGAUCACAUCAGCAUGGCUCUAUUAAUCAUAAAAUCUAGUAAGUGCCAGGGUGUUUCUCUUGGUCUUGUUUAGGUGUGGGUAUCAUGUUUUCAAUUCACCCCGUGGGAAAGGUUGGUUGAUUUGCCCAAAAUCCUGGGCAGGUAGGGGUAGGAGUCAGGAAUCUGAUGGGGGCUCAGGAAGGGUGGUGUAGGCUCUCAGCCAUUGCCCCUCCAUCCUCAGGAGACUGACCCCUGGGGUGCCACCCCAGGGUGGCACCACAUGGACCUCAGUGAGUGGAAGAUGUCUCCAUCCUACUGCAGCCCAAAGGAGGACAGACCAACUGGGGCUGGCAGCAAAUGGAUGGGAUUCUGAAAGGUACCAUUUGCAAAAAGAGCAUGUGUCCUGAGAGAAAAAGCACCCUUUGUAUUGCCCACCCCAGCAUCAAUCACCCCUGCUUCACUUCCCCUCCCCCAGCCAAAGAGUAAAUUGCCGGGAAAGUGUUGCCUGUGACAGGGCACAGGAGUUCCCAAAGCCAGAAACGUUGGUGUCCUGCCACAGGUCGGGACACAGCAGCUCACAUAGCACUCUUCACUGGGCCCUGGAUAGCCGGGAGGAGGUGCUGGGGAGGUGCAGUCCUAGAGGGGCUUGGGAAACCCAUGGGAGUCUAGGUAGUCCCAGAUCAGCUGCCAGCAAGCAGAGUGAGGAGAAAGGAAAUAUUAAGAGCAACUGCUGUGGGCUAGGUUGUCAGGUGCCAGGUCACUGUGCUUUGGCCCAAUGAGUUCUCUUUAAUUUUAUGGGCUGUGGGUGCCAUUAGUACAUUCAUUUUACAGAUGAAGACACUGAGGAUCAGAAAAGUUAUGGUCCUUAGUCACACAGCUAAAAAUUGCCAGAAAUGAGAUUCAAAAUCAAGACUAAAUGACUCUAAACUAUACUCCUAACCCCAAAGAAAUCCUGUCACUUAAAAAAGGUCCCCAAAGCUGUACUUUCUCCUGGCCAGUAUCCACUUGAAAAGACAUCAACCUUUGCCUGCAAGGCCACCUCAAAUACUCCCUUGCCUGGGGUCUUCCUCAAUUCCACCUAAUGCCAUCUCUCUUCUUGGGGUGUGCUAAGCCUUGGAGACUGGGCACUGGGGCGGAUUCCAGACCCUCAUUCAGAUUGGGGCUGUUGGUUAAUAUUGCUCUUAAGUGCUGCUGCUGCCCAGUCUCCUGGCUCCUGGUCUUCUAUACUCCCGUAGACUUUGCUUCUUCCUUGAGGUCCUUGACCUAAAGGAGCCUCUUAGGAAGGUGAGGAGGCUCCCAGGAUGGCCCCACUGCUUCUCAGAGGCUAGUCCAAUGAUAAGAGGGAGUGGGGGGGUGGGUCUUGAGAAGCUGAUACUGGAAAGCAGAGAUGGUCCCCAUGUGCUUGAGUUUCUAGGACUCUUACAAGACCAUUGGGUCCAUCUGAAUUGUCCUGAGAGAGCACUAGGGCAAAUUAUGGGAAAGAAGCCUCUUCCUGUCCUGUGAACCCUCUGGCUUUCUUGCACCAGUCCAUGGAGAAUAAAGUUUCUUUGCAAAGCCUCCCAUGU